Molecule: long non-coding RNA, 1098 nt
Organism: Cucumis melo (muskmelon)
Lineage: Eukaryota; Viridiplantae; Streptophyta; Magnoliopsida; Cucurbitales; Cucurbitaceae
Exons: 3
Source: RefSeq, a predicted model, not a curated record
CUAGACAUCACAACGAGCCCAACACAAUGAAAAUCACUCAAAGUGAAGCUAAAGCAAGCAAGAACGGACCAAGAAACGUUAGAGUGGCAUUUUUUAAAUAAUCAAAAGAAAAGCGCCACAAUACCAAAGGAUGGCACUUGAAGGCAAUACCCAUAAAAACACGAAGUGUCGCGACACCCAAGUCAAGGGCCGUAGAUGUAUUCAAAAAGAAUGAAGAUAAGGGUAAAAAGUGAGUUUAAUUUGAAGGAAGGGGCAUUAUGGUCAUUUUCUAUUUAUUAUUACUUUUUUAAAAAGAAAGAAAUCGGGAAAUUCUUUCGAGCACGUAACCCCUCUUCUCGAAUCUUUUCCCUUCAUCGGCUCCUUCCUCUCGUUGUCAUCUCUCCCUAUCUCUCUGUCAUUCUCUUCCGCUCACCAUCCCUCUCCAUCACCAUUGCUAAGUUGCACAUCCGCUCAUUGACGUCCCGUGAACACCAUCAUUGCCACCGUGCCAUUGUUGUCCUGCUUACCUUGUACCAUAUCUUAAAAUGUCACGCCAUCACCCAACCAACCGAAGAUCAAGUUAGCCACGGUGUCCAUGUUUCUUUCAAAUCCACCACUUAGAGUAAGGCGUCGUAGUGCUCGUUGUGAAAAGUGUGAGAAUGAAUAAAUGUAGUGGGACGCUGGUGGAAUCUCAAGUAACUCGCAUGAUACUGGUAAGAGCAACUCCCAUGUCUAAGCGAGGGGAAAAUCUCAGGUCUCAGAGGCAAACUUGUUGUGAAAUGAAUCCAACUUAUGGCGUUGUAGGGCUUGCUUUGUAAAGUUUGAGUAAGACGAUCAUGGGACGCUAGUUGAAUGUGGCUCCCAAGUAUGAAAAUGAAUUAAUGUGGUAGGUCGCUGGUGGAAUCCCAGGUAACUCGCAUGAUACUGGUGAGAACAAAUAUCAGGUCUAGACGAGGGAAAAAUCUCAGGUCUCAGAAUUGAGUAUGUUGCGAAAUGAAUCUAACGUAUGGCAUUGUAGCACUCGCUGUGUGAUGGGUGAACUAUUGUGGAUCAUGUGAUGUGUGUUAAUUGUUCGAUGCGACGUAUUUAAUCUAUUGUGACUCGAUAUUAUUAUGAUUA